Molecule: non-coding RNA, 93 nt
Organism: Saccharicrinis fermentans
Lineage: Bacteria; Pseudomonadati; Bacteroidota; Bacteroidia; Marinilabiliales; Marinilabiliaceae
Source: Rfam
AAAUCGCAUAUGAGGCUUUAUAAAUCGGAUGAGUAAACACAUUAUUGCAACGUCCAAACGCCAAGGAGGCGAGUAUUUAUAAAGUAGAUGCGG